Molecule: non-coding RNA, 73 nt
Organism: Podarcis lilfordi (Lilford's wall lizard)
Lineage: Eukaryota; Metazoa; Chordata; Lepidosauria; Squamata; Lacertidae
Source: the annotation of a GenBank genome assembly
GCCAGGAUAGCCCAGUGGGUAGAGCAGGAGACUCAUAAUCUCAGUGUCAUGGGCUUGAGCCCCAAGUUGGGCA